UGGCUCAGGAUGAACGCUGGCGGCGUGCCUAACACAUGCAAGUCGAACGAAGCAUGAUUGAAGGAGACUUCGGUCAAUGGAUAUCAUGACUUAGUGGCGGACGGGUGAGUAAUACAUGAGCAACCUGCCUUUCAGAGGGGGACAACAGCUGGAAACGGCUGCUAAUACCGCAUAACGUGCGAGAGGGGCAUCCCUUUUUGUACCAAAGGAGCAAUCCGCUGAAAGAUGGGCUCAUGACUGAUUAGUUAGUUGGCAGGGCAACGGCCUACCAAGACUGCGAUCAGUAGCCGGACUGAGAGGUUGAACGGCCACAUUGGGACUGAGAUACGGCCCAGACUCCUACGGGAGGCAGCAGUGGGGAAUAUUGGGCAAUGGGCGAAAGCCUGACCCAGCAACGCCGCGUGAAGGAAGAAGGUCUUCGGAUUGUAAACUUCUUUUAUGAGGGACGAAGGACGUGACGGUACCUCAUGAAUAAGCCACGGCUAACUACGUGCCAGCCGCCGC
This 504-nucleotide ribosomal RNA is filed under the name uncultured bacterium. RNAcentral describes it as "bacterial SSU rRNA". It matches the Rfam family "Bacterial small subunit ribosomal RNA", at positions 20 to 518 of the family's 1533-position model. The record is from RNAcentral.